RNAcentral lists this ribosomal RNA (427 nucleotides) under uncultured bacterium. RNAcentral describes it as "partial 16S ribosomal RNA". It matches the Rfam family "Bacterial small subunit ribosomal RNA", at positions 355 to 774 of the family's 1533-position model. The record is from RNAcentral. RNAcentral also lists the same sequence under 1 other name.
UGGGGAAUAUUGCACAAUGGGCGCAAGCCUGAUGCAGCCAUGCCGCGUGUAUGAAGAAGGCCCUCGGGUUGUAAAGUACUUUCAGCGGGGAGGAAGGGAGUAAAGUUAAUACCUUUGCUCAUUGACGUUACCCGCAGAAGAAGCACCGGCUAACUCCGUGCCAGCAGCCGCGGUAAUACGGAGGGUGCAAGCGUUAAUCGGAAUUACUGGGCGUAAAGCGCACGCAGGCGGUUUGUUAAGUCAGAUGUGAAAUCCCCGGGCUCAACCUGGGAACUGCAUCUGAUACUGGCAAGCUUGAGUCUCGUAGAGGGGGGUAGAAUUCCAGGUGUAGCGGUGAAAUGCGUAGAGAUCUGGAGGAAUACCGGUGGCGAAGGCGGCCCCCUGGACGAAGACUGACGCUCAGGUGCGAAAGCGUGGGGAGCAAACA